AUAUAAAAAUAAUAAAGAUUUCGGCUCUUUAAGUGCCAAAAUAAUGGCUUUUAUAA
RNAcentral lists this transfer RNA (56 nucleotides) under Siphonodentalium lobatum. RNAcentral describes it as "tRNA-Arg". Lineage: Eukaryota; Metazoa; Mollusca; Scaphopoda; Gadilida; Siphonodentaliidae. The record is from RNAcentral.